GUAAGUGUGGCCGAGUGGUGAAGGCGAUGGCCUAGAAAUCCAUUGGGGUUUCCCCGUGCAGGUUCGAAUCCUCCAAGCUACG
Molecule: transfer RNA, 82 nt
Filed under: Amazona aestiva (blue-fronted amazon)
Lineage: Eukaryota; Metazoa; Chordata; Aves; Psittaciformes; Psittacidae
Rfam family: tRNA
About the family: Transfer RNA (tRNA) molecules are approximately 80 nucleotides in length. Their secondary structure includes four short double-helical elements and three loops (D, anti-codon, and T loops).
Source: Rfam by way of RNAcentral